GUUGCACUCACUUUUAAGGCUUAUUGGUACAAGUUCUUAAAGACUGAAAAGGAGUUCUCAGAAACAAAUCAAACCCAUUUUUAUUUGGGCUUCUCAUUUCUCCUUGGGGUCAGACACUUAACAAGCUGUUCAUAAUAUGUCAUGCUGGGCCUAAUGUUCAGCCCUUAGAAGAAAAGGCCAUAUCAGCUGAGACAAGUGAACAGCAGACAGAGUUAGGAAUUAGGAAGCUUGGGCUCUAACCUGUUUCUGUCACUGAAGGUUUGCAGGGCCCACGUAUGAGUCAUGUCUCUGCUCUGCAUCCUAUCUGCUCACUAGGCAUAACAGAACUGACCUUCCUCCCAGCCCUGUCGUGAGGAUGAAAUCCUGUGUGGAGCACUUUGAAAUCUUUGGAUGAAAAGCACGACAGAAGUGCCAAGUAUGAUUGUUACCCGUGCCAGCCACACUAGAAGACAGCAUAAAAAUAGGAAGCAAAGAAAAUUUCAUUUUACAAAAGCUUCAGUGAGAAAAUUGGCUGGUCAGAAUGUCAUUCCCUAGUUUUGGUUCACAUACACGUUGUCUUUUAUAAAAUUAAAGGAAAAAAAUAAUUGUACACAUUUUUGUCUUUGCCGGGAAGAAGCCCUUUGAUCAUCACCAUCCCUGCGACGCCAGGUGAGUCCCUGAUGCAGAAGGAAGAUCGAUACAUGAGGAGACCGUGUGGAAUCAGUUAUUUGUAGUUGCUCCCCAAUUUCUGUUUUUCAUUGCAAGGAAUCGAAGCCAUAAAGUCUGAGGGGGUGUUACAGGUUGAGGAUUAGGGAGUGUCUAAACCUUGACAUCGUCACAACAUAGGAUCCGAGAUACCUCCAGCUAAAACAGAGACUGUGCUUUCAGAACUGGCCCUGCACGCAGCCUCUACUCCAGUGCUCUCAGGUCCUGUCCUUAAUAGGAGAACAUGAGAGCUGCAGAUUUAAAAACCCAAGAGGGAACCUUUGCAACAACCUUUGUUAUAUUAGGAAUCCCAAAAUAAGGUGAGUCAUGCCCGUUAGUGUGCACCUUCAUCCUAAAAAUGACUUAGCUGUAGUUUUAAUAGCUUAUGUCCAUCUUGGUAUAAUGCUGUAAGUGAGUUGUGAUGAGCUGUAAUCACCUUUGCUUAUAAAUUUGGUAGACUGUGGAAACAGUUCCAAACCACAGAAGAGACAUUUCAAACUCUGAGCUUGCUGCCUGAUAUGACACACAGAGAAUUUAGAAUAGGAGUUUUGGAUGCUGUUGCCACGUCUUUACAGCCUGUCUUUUAUACUGGAGUUUUAAAAAGUCAAAACCCUACAGGGUGGUUUGGUUGCUGCAUCCCACUGAGAAGUUGAGAAAGUAAAAGGUAAGGGGGUGUAGCCAUGGGCUUGUCAGGGGGACGUGAGUGACACUAGUCCACCCACAGCAACUGUUCCAUGAAGUUAUGAAUCAUAUUGUACUCGACUUGUAAUUUCCACCCAGGAAGGGAAAGCUACUGAGCACUAUUGAAAUGUUUUGUUCAGAAGUUUCUCAGAGGGAGGGUCUUCAUAGUGUUUUAUGGAAUAAUUUGCAUUCUAAUCGGCAUAAUUGAAUUAUUGCCAUAGAAUUUGCAUGGUAUGGCUCCAGUAGAAAUACUUUCCAUUAAGAAAUAAAUACUCCUUAGAGAGGAAAAAAUGUCCAUCCACUGUAGUAUCCAGUCACAUGACAAUCUCUAUUUAUUCCUCUUCAUAACCCCAUGAGAAGGGUCAUCCUCACUGGAGUUUCAAUUUCUUAACCGAAGAAAUUAGUUGAAAAGUGGAAAUCCAACCUGCUGAUAGUUUCUUUAUCUGUCCACACCUAAUAAUGAGUUUGACUGAUUCUUCUAUUUAAAUUGACAGAUUAUUUACACCUCUGUGAAUUACAAUGUUGCUAUGGUCUUUCUUUCCUUUGCAUUUGUGUGUGUGUGUGUGUGUGUGUGUGUGUGGUUAGAACGUCUAUAGUCAGGCUAAAAUUCAGAUCCCAUCUUUAUAAUUCUUGUUUGUGUAAUAUGAAUUUAUCACAAUGGCAGGAGAGUGAAUUAUCAUACAGCCUUGAA
Molecule: long non-coding RNA, 2056 nt
Filed under: Homo sapiens (human)
Lineage: Eukaryota; Metazoa; Chordata; Mammalia; Primates; Hominidae
Description: HSALNT0058416
Source: RNAcentral